Amphiprion ocellaris (clown anemonefish) is the source of this 1478-nucleotide long non-coding RNA. Lineage: Eukaryota; Metazoa; Chordata; Actinopteri; Pomacentridae. The record is from Ensembl.
AACUGGGCUUGUAGCACAUUGUCUGCCUUGCAACAAUGGGAAAGAGGCACCGUUUAUGUUUUGACAACCUAUAUCUAACGAGUUAUUGAUGCUGGAAGUGUGAAUCUGUGAAUAUCUUUCCAACUUUACUGAACUUGGGGCCACUACCACCUAAGGAGUGAUAUUGUUAGGUGUACCUCUGCAGGUCCUGGUUAGGCCCCUCCUUCCCCUUGUGUGUGUGUUUCCUUUUUAGGAAGGAGUGACAGCAGACAGCAGCGGCAGGUGUAGACAGUUCUCAUCUGAGCAAUCAGCAGAAGUGGGAGCAGAUGUGCAGAACCAAUCAGUCCACCACUCCAUCAUUUUAUAACCUGACUCUUCUCUUCAUUCUUCGUCGGAUCGUAAAAAGCAACUACCUAGACUGCUCCCAGAUUUGGACUCCUCGGACCCACCUGCCUACCGGCCUUCCCCCACCGUCAGGAUUAGUCACCCGGUUCAUUCUCCAACCAUUCCUCCGUCGACUACCAGCUCCUGUCCUCACCAGCCGUCGCCGCUGCAGCCGCACGUCCAUUCCUCCGUUCCAUCGUCGAGCCACAGCCAGCCAUCCCUCCUAGAUGCCAGCUGAGCACCCGUCCGAGCAGACUCCGUUAGUGUUUAUAGUUCUUAAAGAAUAACAGUGCUAUAGUAGUUUUUUGUUUACCGGACCCCGGCUCAUAGUUAAAGUUCCAGUAGCCGUAAUGUUUAGCUUCCUAGUUGUUGGUUAUUCCACUUAAAACAUUUGAGUUUCUAGUUUGCGUGUCUUGUGUAACACUUUAGUUUGGGUGGCUUCCUUAAUAGGCCUUUUGUUUUGAGCUUGCUGAAGUAAUUUGAGCUACUGUAAGCUGUAGUUCUCCUGCCCAGGAAUUACCUGUUGUGGGUCCGCCAGCCACUAGAGGCAACAAUCAGUUCUAGUUAAAGUCGUUAUCCCGUUGUUCCGGUACUCCCGGUAUUUUGAGUUUCUGUGGGAAUUGUAGUCCUUUAUCCCUUGUUUUUGAAUAAAUGACUAUUUAUGCAUAGUCUGACUCCAUCUCUUCCCUGCAUCUGAGCUUUUAAGAUAACAAAACCUAACAGAUGUAUUUAAUUUUGAAAAAAAGCAUUUAGCCAUACUUAAAGCUUUAAGUGCUUUAUUAACACGGAACUAAAAAUUUUGUAUUGUUUUAUUAUCACAGGUUCUGUCUGAAAAGAGGUGGCAUCAUUUUAAACAGUGAAAUCAAACUAACAAAAUGUAAUGACCAACCAGUGAGCAAUACUGGAUUCUGCAAAAACAUAAACAACUUUUUAAAAAAAAAAUCUUAUCUUAACACAGUUAAUGUAUUAACUUAUUUAUGUGUGUAUGCAUGUAUUUAUUGAUUUAUUUAGUACUGUUAACAUAUCAGAGUUCUGAGUGAAUUUUUCUUAAGAUAGGCAAAGGCCAUUUAUUGAUUACAUAUAGGCUAUUCAAUAUUUAUUAAAAACUAAAAAGC